CCUACGGGAGGCUGCAGUGGGGAAUAUUGCACAAUGGGGGAAACCCUGAUGCAGCGACGCCGCGUGAGUGAAGAAGUAUUUCGGUAUGUAAAGCUCUAUCAGCAGGGAAGAGAAUGACGGUACCUGAGUAAGAAGCAACGGCUAACUACGUGCCAGCAGCCGCGGGAAUACGUAGGGGGCAAGCGUUAUCCGGAUUUACUGGGUGUAAAGGGAGCGUAGACGGCGAAGAAAGUCUGAAGUGAAAGCCCGCGGCUCAACCGCGGAACUGCUUUGGAAAUUUUUUUGCUGGAGUACCGGAGAGGUAGGCGGAAUGCCGAGUGUAGCGGUGAAAUGCGUAGAUAUUAGGCGGAACACCAGUGGCGAAGGCGGCUUACUGGACGGUAACUGACGUUGAGGCUCGAAAGCGUGGGGAGCAAACAGGAUUAGAUACCCCAGUAGUC
Molecule: ribosomal RNA, 440 nt
Filed under: uncultured bacterium
Lineage: Bacteria
Description: partial 16S ribosomal RNA
Rfam family: Bacterial small subunit ribosomal RNA
Source: RNAcentral